RNAcentral lists this ribosomal RNA (469 nucleotides) under uncultured bacterium. Its description in RNAcentral is "partial 16S ribosomal RNA". It matches the Rfam family "Bacterial small subunit ribosomal RNA", at positions 28 to 507 of the family's 1533-position model. The record is from RNAcentral.
GACGAACGCUGGCGGCGUGCUUAACACAUGCAAGUCGAACGGAAAGGCCCUUCUUGCAGGGUGCUCGAGUGGCGAACGGGUGAGUAACACGUGGGUGAUCUGCCCCUUACUUUGGGAUAAGCCUGGGAAACUGGGUCUAAUACUGGAUAGGACCAUGCUGUAGGUGGUGUGGUGGAAAGAUUAGUUUCGGUAAGGGAUGAGCUCGCGGCCUAUCAGCUUGUUGGUGGGGUAAUGGCCUACCAAGGCGUCGACGGGUAGCCGGCCUGAGAGGGUGGACGGCGACAUUGGGACUGAGAGACGGCGCAGAGUCCUACGGGAGGCAGAAGUGGGGAGUAUAGUACAAAGGGCGCAAGCCUGAUGCAGCGACGCCGCGUGGGGGAUGACGGCCUUCGGGUUGUAAACUCCUCUCAGCCAUGACGAAGCCCUUGUGGUGACGGUAGUGGUAGAAGAAGCACCGGCUAACUACGUG